AGUGGCGCACGGGUGAGUAACACGUAGAUAACCUACCCCUUAGUUCGGGACAACCCUUCGAAAGGAGGGCUAAUACCGGAUAAAACCAUUUGUCUAAUGACAAUUGGUUGAAAGAUUUAUCGCUAGGGGAUGGGUCUGCGGACCAUUAGCUUGUUGGUAGGGUAAAGGCCUACCAAGGCGACGAUCCGUAGCUGGUCUGA
This 200-nucleotide ribosomal RNA is filed under the name Ctenophora environmental sample. Its description in RNAcentral is "partial Bacterial small subunit ribosomal RNA". It matches the Rfam family "Bacterial small subunit ribosomal RNA", at positions 94 to 295 of the family's 1533-position model. Lineage: Eukaryota; Metazoa; Ctenophora. The record is from RNAcentral.